UGCAUGGUUGUCGUCAGCUCGUGCCGUGGAGGUGUCGGGUUAAGGUCCCAUAACGAGCGCAACCCUACCUUAGUUGCCAUCAGGUUAAGCUGGGGACUCUAAAGGAACUGCUACGCAAGUAGUGAGGAAGGCGGGGAUGACGUCAAAUCAGCACGGCCCUUACGUCCAGGGCUACACACGUGCUACAAUGGCCGAUACAGAGGGCAGCUACCUGGUGACAGGAUGCAAAUCUCCAAAGUCGGUCUCAGUUCGGAUCGGAGUCUGCAACCCGACUCCGUGAAGUUGGAUUCGCUAGUAAUCGCGCAUCAGCCAUGGCGCGGUGAAUACGUUCCCGGGCCUU
RNAcentral lists this ribosomal RNA (340 nucleotides) under uncultured Sphingobacteriales bacterium. RNAcentral describes it as "bacterial SSU rRNA". It matches the Rfam family "Bacterial small subunit ribosomal RNA", at positions 1042 to 1382 of the family's 1533-position model. Lineage: Bacteria; Pseudomonadati; Bacteroidota; Sphingobacteriia; Sphingobacteriales. The record is from RNAcentral.